Molecule: ribosomal RNA, 321 nt
Filed under: uncultured bacterium
Lineage: Bacteria
Description: bacterial SSU rRNA
Rfam family: Bacterial small subunit ribosomal RNA
Source: RNAcentral
GAUGAACGCUAGCGGUGAGCCUAACACAUGCAAGUCGAACGGCACUCUGCUUCGGUAGAGUGAAGUGGCGAACGGGUGAGUAAUGCAUAAGAAUCCACCCAGUAGCGCGGGAUACCCUUCGGAAACGGAGGACAAAACCGCAUGAACCCCGAGGGGCAAAAGAAUUUCUGCUACUGGUCGAGCUUAUGUUGGAUUAGCUAGUUGGUGAGGUAACGGCUUACCCAAAGGCUUAGAUCCAUAGCUGGUCUGUGAGGAUGAUCAGCCACAUUGGGACUGAGAUACGGCCCAGACUCCUACGGGAGGCAGCAGUGAGGAAUAUGG